CUUAUGUUCACACGUACAAGAAGCUGUUUGCAUCUGAAGACAGAAGAAGCAACGGUAGUGUGUCUGGCUGUGUCUCCUGCUGUACCUGUGCUUGUGUGUUCUUAGUAAGUGUGACAGUGAGCUGAUUGUGUCAGCUUGAGUAAGAAACGCCCAACUGAACUGGAUCAGCACAGUUCUGGUGUGGCUGAGGGGAUUUACGGAAGAUUUGCUGGGGUUUGCAAGGUGUGAGUGACGGCAGCCGAUGGGCUUGCCGCCUGCAGGGAGGGCUCGGUGCUGUUUCUUCAGAGGAGCCCCAGUCUGCUCCCCAUCUCGGAGGCCAUAUCCUGGCUUCCAGUGCAGACCCCUCAGCCUCCUGUUAGGACCCACAGGGGAUGCCACAGUGGUUCCAGGCCUUCGACCUGAUCCUCCACAUCUCCACGGCACAGGCAGCCCUUUGCCCUUUGCCCUCUUCCACAUUGAUGCCUUGGUGGCCACUGUAGGCCAACCUUGUAAAUCUGUAGAUAUUUGUGUAGCCUGCACCACAUCUAUUUCUGCAGUGGGCACUGACUGAUGCACUAACUCUGGCCGCUGAUGAUACACUAACUUCUGCCCAAAGGGCCGGAGAGUGUACCUUACAAAGGACAAAUGGAGGAAAGGUCAGUUGCAACAGAGUUCAAUUAGAAAUCAGGGGAGGCCAGGCUUCAACCUGAGUGACAGAAAAUUACAAAAGAAUUCUCAAAAUGAUGAAUGUUGAAAUAGUAUCUAUCGAUCAUUAUGUUCACUGUCUGUGAUUAGUACAGUGAAAUGUGUGGUUAUUGAUGACUGAGUGACUAAAACACUGAGCUAUCUUGUGUUACUCAUAAUUGAAUAUGCAGAUUAUUCUUUUAAAAUGCUUUUAACAAACAUAAAGUAAGGGAGAACAUACAGUAGGCCAAGGAGUAUUGUAUUCCAGGGGGAAUGUUAGUAGUCCUUAAUACUUCACACUAAGGGAAAUAGUAAUUUCCCGAAAGAGUUCAGAGUCAUGAGUGGUAGAAACAAGAUUUUAGAACUUAGUUAUGUAACACCUAUAUUUUUCUACCACAGUUUUCUGCCACUUAAAUAUACAUCAAGUUUACCAUACUUUCCUUAUGUGUGGUAUCCUGCUUUAUUUUUUUGGUACCCGAAAUUGAACUCAGUGUUCUGGUGCCUGCCUCACAAGUGCAGGGUCCAAAGUUCGAUCCCUGGUACAAAAAAAAAAUUCAAAUCAAG
RNAcentral lists this long non-coding RNA (1227 nucleotides) under Heterocephalus glaber (naked mole-rat). RNAcentral's name for it is "lncRNA (ENSHGLG00100044399.1)". Lineage: Eukaryota; Metazoa; Chordata; Mammalia; Rodentia; Bathyergidae. The record is from RNAcentral.